Molecule: ribosomal RNA, 433 nt
Filed under: uncultured bacterium
Lineage: Bacteria
Description: partial 16S ribosomal RNA
Rfam family: Bacterial small subunit ribosomal RNA
Source: RNAcentral
AACGAACGCUGGCGGCAUGCCUAACACAUGCAAGUCGAACGAGACCUUCGGGCCUAGUGGCGCACGGGUGCGUAACGCGUGGGAACCUGCCCUUAGGUUCGGAAUAACUCCCCGAAAGGGGUGCUAAUACCGGAUAAUGUCUUCGGACCAAAGAUUUAUCGCCUUUGGAUGGGCCCGCGUUGGAUUAGCUAGUUGGUAGGGUAAAAGCCUACCAAGGCGACGAUCCAUAGCUGGUCUGAGAGGAUGAUCAGCCACACUGGGACUGAGACCCGGCCCAGACUCCUACGGGAGGCAGCAGUGGGGAAUAUUGGACAGUGGGCGAGAGCCUGAUCCAGCAAUGCCGCGUGAGUGAUGAAGGCCUUAGGGUUGUAAAGCUCUUUUACCCGGGAUGAUAAUGACAGUACCGGGAGAAUAAGCUCCGGCUAACUCCGUG